This is a long non-coding RNA of Acinonyx jubatus (cheetah), 2662 nucleotides long. RefSeq lists it as uncharacterized. NCBI's taxonomy places the organism in Eukaryota, Metazoa, Chordata, Mammalia, Carnivora, Felidae. The transcript is spliced from 3 exons. The record is from RefSeq and is a predicted model, not a curated record.
CAAAUGAUUUACUAUCUUUAUAUUUUAAUAGCCUGAAUUCGUAACAUUAUAAUCUAGACGCGGCAGUGGAAGAGAAAAUAAUGUGCGUGACCGCACGAAGAAGAGAUGCCAGUCUGACACAGGUCGAAACCGGGCUGACCCACGUGGAAAUAAGUCCACAGCACGUGCCUCAGGAGUAGCGGGGAAGUUAUUAUGGUGUCAAAGCAGGAACAAAAAGCAGUGCUUAAAAAUCUUGGUAUUUGAAAGAUGAAUUUAUGGCCGCCUAAAUCCUCGAGUGGAAAGACUGAAAUGCCUUUAUUUCGACUGCUCGUUGCCUGCAAAAAGCCACCAGCAUGAUAAAGAGCCGUGGAACUCUUCUGGAACUCUUCUGGAAGCGUUCUUCUACUGUAUAAAAACUGUGGCCGCUCUUUUCUUCCUCAACCCCCGCCCCCACCUCGUCAACAUCCUUAUCACAUGUUCUCUGGCCCAGUGGCUUCGAGUCAGGCACUAACCACACUGCCUUUUGUCCUCUGGCAAAGAUAAUGCAUCUGGGUUUCCUUAGUGACAUUCUAAACACAGGUUUUCUGUCCUUCUGUAUGGAGCGCACAGUCUGGGUGGAUGCCUGAUGUGUGCGAGGCCCCCACCCCCAUCUACACACCACGCUGGCUCCCAGGUUGGCCUCUGUGUUCCGUCCAGCCUGGCAUUGUCAGGGGUGGGGGCGCUGCGUGAGGUCCUGAGGUCGCUCUCCAGCGUCCUGCCCCACAGCCACAGGGGGCUUUUGUGCCCUGCCUUCUUGAUUUGCUUCUACUUUCUGUUGUUGCCAUCUGACUAAGAGAAUCACCGUGUAAUCAUUUCUGGAGGACACCUGCAGCACCGGCUUUUGUCAACAGGACCACGGACACAAACAAAACACACACACUCACUUCCCACCGGGAUGUGACAUUGUGGACCAGCCCUGAAUGCGGGCACACGUGGGAGAUGUGGAAGCUGACGACUUCAGGCAAGACUCUUCCCCUCUCCUCCGUGGCUUCCUCAGUGGGCUGUCCGGGAGGGGCUGAGAGAGAAUGUCGGCCGCUAAAAGCUUGACCGUCUUUAAGUGUGCUUGGGGGUGAGGGCGAGGGGAGGGAGAACCGUGAGCCAUCACUAUUCUGAGGCCGAUUUAACCAAAUGCCUAGGGGGAAAUCUGGCUCUCAGAUAGGCUGGCGCUUAAACAUGAAUGAUAUACAUGUUACUCAUGGUACAGCGGAGGGAAAGACAUCACUCACAGGAAGUGAUUACAGUUCUUUAUCUUCUGGGCCCCAGUCGCUAAGGAAAUUCUGACUGAGUGAGCCAAAGAAAUCAGUCCCUUUGGAGUUCAGGCUAGUUAGUCAUGACAGCUCGUGUUUGCUGUUAUUAAUAGCGGCCGCAUUUACCAAGUGGACAGACCUGCAGACCUAAGCACAAGUCCGUGUGCACGAGCUUGCUUUGAUGCACAUUUGAGGUAAACACAGCCCAGCCCCAUUUUUCAAAUAAAGAAAUCGAGAGCCUCAGUCUGGCAGGGAGGAAGAUUCCAAUGGAGGCUUUUGAAGUUCGAGUGCCAUUCCUUCUGCUCUUAGAGCUCUUUGGCUUAGACGCGGGCCUCUGUGAGCUUUCUCGCAGAGUCAUGCCAGCGCAGGCCAGGCACUGGUCAUGCUGUGCCACGCGGUCAGACUCGUCCGUACGUGCUAGCGGCAGGUGCCGUGAGUCCCCGAUUUUUAGUCAGAAGAAAAAUGCCAAAUCAUGUUUGACUUUUACCAACAAGUUUCCUCGGGCCUGGAGCGGGAGCUGUCUUCCGGCAUAAUUAACUCAGAAAACGUGCGUGUCUCUGGGAGCUAGAGGGCUUGACGGAGGUCGUGAUGUAGAUGAAUGUCACAUACUUUCAUAAGGCUGCUUUAUUCCUUUUUGAAAUGUCAUCUCGGGAAUCGUUCAUUUUUCCGGAGACGGGCAGCUUUUAUUUCCACUGGCAAACACGCGGUUUUACACGGGAUGUCUUUCAGUCUUGGCGAGGCAACGAGAGAAGAAGAAACACAGGACUUGUUUAGGGCUGCAGUGAUAACUGAUUGAAUGUUAGCUUCACUGUCAAAAUCAGAACUUUCCCAUACUAUCUGAGGAAUGAAAACACAUCCUGAUUAGUAAUCCUCACCAAGUUCGGAAGGUUAGAGGUGAUUCAGUCUCCGUGAAUGUGGUCUGGUCGUAUUUUAAGAAGGGCCUCUGAAUCAUGUGGAGUUGUGUCAAGAUAUGUGUGAUGUUAUGUUAUUUUAAAAAGGCAGCUUGGAGAGAGGAAAUUGAACCAUCUUUUUUCAAAAAACUCUGCCCUUUAAUGGAAGAAAAGGGCAGGUCAUUUCCCACACAUCUCACUUACUCUGUGCAAUGUGGGCUGUGAUGUAUUUUUACCACAGACAUAUUCUUAAUGUGCUCUCAUAUAACCUUACUUACUUAGGGUAUUUUAAGUUUGUAACUUGAGCUGUUCUUACCUAAUAUUUAUUGAUAGAUGUGAUUAAAUGCAUGACUUAUAAUCAAAUAAAAUUUACUAUUGAUCUAUUUUUCUCUUGAUGGCUUAGCCAUCUGGAGGGAUGGCUGUGUAGACAUAUGUACUGUUGUAUGAAUAUAAAAAAUGCAUAAUUCUAAGUGAACUUCUCAACUUUUCUCAACUCAGAAAAAGAGG